Ribosomal RNA from Danio rerio (zebrafish), 116 nucleotides. The record is from Ensembl. NCBI's taxonomy places the organism in Eukaryota, Metazoa, Chordata, Actinopteri, Cypriniformes, Danionidae.
GCCACAGCACACAUUACCCUGCAGACCAAGACCGGUUACUCACUGAAUCUAAGCAGGGUUGAGCCUAGUCAUUACCUGGAUGUGAGACCACAUGGGAAAACUAGGUUGCUGUUGGA